This 756-nucleotide ribosomal RNA is filed under the name uncultured Chloroflexota bacterium. Its description in RNAcentral is "bacterial SSU rRNA". It matches the Rfam family "Bacterial small subunit ribosomal RNA", at positions 8 to 796 of the family's 1533-position model. Lineage: Bacteria; Bacillati; Chloroflexota. The record is from RNAcentral.
AGAGUUUGAUCAUGGCUCAGGAUCAACGCUGGCGGCGUGCCUAAUGCGUGCAAGUCGCACGGGCACUCUUCGGGGUGUCAGUGGCGAACGGCUGAGGAACACGUGCGUAUCUGCCGGUUCGUGGGGAAUAACGCGGAGAAAUCCGCGCUAAUACCGCGUACGCUUGCUCUUCGGAGCAAGGAAGGCCUUCGGGCGCGGACUGAGGAGCGCGCGGCCCAUCAGGUUGAUGGCGGGGUAAUGGCCCACCAUGCCGGUGACGGGUCGCUGGUCUGAGAGGAUGACCAGCCAGACUGGGACUGCGACACGGCCCAGACACCUACGGGUGGCAGCAGCAAGGAAUCUUCCGCAAUGGGCGCAAGCCUGACGGAGCAACGCCGCGUGGAGGACGACGGCCUUCGGGUUGUAAACUCCUUUUCUGGGGGAUGACACAGACAGUACCCCAGGAAUCAGCCCCGGCUAACUCUGUGCCAGCAGCCGCGGUAAGACAGAGGGUGCGAGCGUUAAUCGGAAUUACUGGGCGUAAAGGGUGCGUAGGCGGUUGUUUAAGUUAGGUGUGAAAUCCCCGGGCUUAACCUGGGAAUUGCAUUUAAUACUGAAUGGCUAGAGUAGAGUAGAGGGAAGUGGAAUUUCCGGUGUAGCGGUGAAAUGCGUAGAGAUCAGGAAGAACAUCGGUGGCGAAGGCGCUCUGCUGGACCAUAACUGACACUCAGGGACGAAAGCUAGGGGAGCGAAUGGGAUUAGAUACCCCCGUAGUCC